RNAcentral lists this ribosomal RNA (253 nucleotides) under uncultured bacterium. RNAcentral describes it as "partial 16S ribosomal RNA". It matches the Rfam family "Bacterial small subunit ribosomal RNA", at positions 524 to 776 of the family's 1533-position model. The record is from RNAcentral.
UACGGAGGGAGCUAGCGUUGUUUGGAAUUACUGGGCGUAAAGCGCACGUAGGCGGCUUUGUAAGUUAGAGGUGAAAGCCCGGGGCUCAACUCCGGAACUGCCUUUAAGACUGCAUCGCUUGAAUCCAGGAGAGGUGAGUGGAAUUCCGAGUGUAGAGGUGAAAUUCGUAGAUAUUCGGAAGAACACCAGUGGCGAAGGCGGCUCACUGGACUGGUAUUGACGCUGAGGUGCGAAAGCGUGGGGAGCAAACAGG